GAUGAACGCUGGCGGCGUGCCUAAUACAUGCAAGUCGAGCGAACAGACGAGGAGCUUGCUCCUCUGACGUUAGCGGCGGACGGGUGAGUAACACGUGGAUAACCUACCUAUAAGACUGGGAUAACUUCGGGAAACCGGAGCUAAUACCGGAUAAUAUAUUGAACCGCAUGGUUCAAUAGUGAAAGACGGUUUUGCUGUCACUUAUAGAUGGAUCCGCGCCGCAUUAGCUAGUUGGUAAGGUAACGGCUUACCAAGGCAACGAUGCGUAGCCGACCUGAGAGGGUGAUCGGCCACACUGGAACUGAGACACGGUCCAGACUCCUACGGGAGGCAGCAGUAGGGAAUCUUCCGCAAUGGGCGAAAGCCUGACGGAGCAACGCCGCGUGAAUGAUGAAGGUCUUCGGAUCGUAAAACUCUGUUAUUAGGGAAGAACAAAUGUGUAAGUAACUAUACACGUCUUGACGGUACCUAAUCAGAAAGCCACGGCUAACUACGUG
RNAcentral lists this ribosomal RNA (497 nucleotides) under uncultured bacterium. RNAcentral describes it as "partial 16S ribosomal RNA". It matches the Rfam family "Bacterial small subunit ribosomal RNA", at positions 28 to 507 of the family's 1533-position model. The record is from RNAcentral.